AGAUGGGCACGAAGCACCCUAAAAGCCUAGCUUACAUUAAAAAAUCUAGGGAAGUGAUAAUGACGUAAGAGCUACUGGUAGAAGUAGGAGAAAAAUUCACCAAAAAAUCGUCAAAGACAAGUACCUGUACAAGUCUUCAAAAGCCAAGCCCGUUAAGUCGUCUCCGAAACGACCAACAAUAGCUGAAUCUAAAGUGGCAAGUGGUCAAGGUUGUUCUAUCUGACCUGCAGACAAAAGCAACAGGAUGUGUUGAUGGGUCUAAGUUUGUGUUGACCCCUGGCACAACCUCUAGGAGACAGUAUGUGAUAAUGAACGGCAAGGUUAUGCUGCUGUGGGUGGAUAAAGGAGCUAAAUUUGUGGAUUGUACAUCAUACACAGACAAAACUUCAUCUGUUACUUGCAAGGAAGUUGCUGGUCUUGCUAGCGUUGAUUUAUCAGCAUCAAAUGUUCCAACAGAAACUGGUAAUAUAUUGCACACUUUUUUAUUUUAAAAAAUAAUUUUCUUGACAACAUUUUUUUACAUUUUACACUGAAAGUUAUUGUAAGGCUUUAGUCUUAUAAACGGUGAAAGUUUAACAAAUGAUCACUUUAUUAGAGAUGUAACCUUAGAAAAAAAUUGAAAUUUUUUGCAAUGGCAAAAAGAAAAUUAUGAUUAAGUUGCAAAUGGUUACCCACAAAGCAUAACUAAAAAUAUGACAUAAUUUUACUUUUUGUUUCUCACUUUCUGGUUUCAUGGAUUUUCGCGGAUUCUGUAUGAAUUUUCCACACCGCCGCUGCAAUUCAUAACUAUUUAUAUCAUUAUUUAAACUGGGUCUUUCAACCAGAUAUACAAUAAAGUUAGGUUUUCAGAAUUUUAAAUUACAAUCUUUUUACACUUUAAUGAAGCUUUCUUGCUUAAAAAGGUGAGUUUUUAAACUUUGUCUCAACAUUUUUGUUGUUGUAAGACGACAUUUUAAUUAUUUUGAUUUCUAAAAAUCUGGUUUUAUUUUAACAAAAAAGCAUGAUUUUGGUGGUGGGAAAUUUAACAUAUAUAAGAAAUAUAACAAUAAUAUAUGAUUAUAAUAAAUAAAAAUAGCAACCUCGCUGUGGAAACUCUAGUUUAGAAACUAAAAAUGUAAUAAAAAUGUCUGGUUCAGACAACUCCCAAGUAAACAGCGACCAAUUUAGGUUACAUUUACUAAUCCUUUGUUCGAUGAUUGGCACUUCCUCCAUCUAAGGAUUUACAAUGGGUUGAUUUCCUCUCCCCCCUCUGUACACCAGAGGAAAGUGUACUGCAGCAGUACAAAUACAGUUCAGCAAACUAUGUCCACACGGUACAACUAGAUACAUAGACCACCAUACGGAUCAAAGAACCAUGUCAAAAAACCAGAAUUAAGAAUAAAAAGUUAGUUUUAUUAAUUGACGACAAUAUUGUAAGAUGAAAUAAUAAAAUUUCUUAUUUAU
Molecule: long non-coding RNA, 1443 nt
Organism: Eurytemora carolleeae
Lineage: Eukaryota; Metazoa; Arthropoda; Copepoda; Calanoida; Temoridae
Exons: 4
Source: RefSeq, a predicted model, not a curated record